UAAGACGAACCGUCCAAACGUUAUUCGGAAUCACUGGGCUUACAGAGUUCGUAGGCGGUCUGGAAAGUUGGGUGUGAAAUCCCUCGGCUCAACCGAGGAACUGCGCUUGAAACUACCAGACUCGAGGGAGAUAGAGGAAAGCGGAACUGAUGGUGGAGCGGUGAAAUGCGUUGAUAUCAUCAGGAACACCGGUGGCGAAGGCGGCUUUCUGGGUCUUACCUGACGCUGAGGAACGAAAGCCAGGGGAGCGAACGGGAUUAGAUACCCCGGUAGUCCUGGCCGUAAACGAUGAGCACUAGGUCGUGGGCCUCCACAGGCCCUCGGCCGUAGCGAAAGUGUUAAGUGCUCCGCCUGGGGAGUAUGGUCGCAAGGCUG
This 375-nucleotide ribosomal RNA is filed under the name uncultured bacterium. RNAcentral's name for it is "bacterial SSU rRNA". It matches the Rfam family "Bacterial small subunit ribosomal RNA", at positions 521 to 896 of the family's 1533-position model. The record is from RNAcentral.